GCAUCUAAGCGUGAAGCCCCCCUCAAGAUGAGAUAUCCCUCAUUGAUAAGACCCCUUGAAGACGACAAGGUAGAUAGGGCAUAGGUGUAAGUGCAGUGAUGUACUCAGCUGAAUGCUACUAAUCGGUCGAAGGCUUUUUU
RNAcentral lists this ribosomal RNA (140 nucleotides) under Lachnospiraceae bacterium. RNAcentral's name for it is "partial 23S ribosomal RNA". It matches the Rfam family "Bacterial large subunit ribosomal RNA", at positions 2777 to 2925 of the family's 2925-position model. Lineage: Bacteria; Bacillati; Bacillota; Clostridia; Lachnospirales; Lachnospiraceae. The record is from RNAcentral.